Molecule: long non-coding RNA, 643 nt
Filed under: Homo sapiens (human)
Lineage: Eukaryota; Metazoa; Chordata; Mammalia; Primates; Hominidae
Description: long non-coding RNA NONHSAT198259.1
Source: RNAcentral
GCCGGGUCCUUCCUCUAACCCAAGUGCAGGCAGAGCCCCCGGAGCCAUGGCCAGCCCUUCCGGCAGCUCCAAAGCCACAGGCAAGCCCCGAGGCUGGGAUGGCCGGCCCAGGAGGGAGGAGGACGACGUACCUCCCGAGGAGAAGAGGCUGCGGCUGGGGCUGGAAGGGGGAAGCGCACAGCCCGAGGACUGCGAGGACGGGGAGGACGCGCCGCGGCCAGGCAGGGAGGAGACCGGCACCCAGACAGGUGGCGACGGCAGAGGAGAUCUUGCUCUGUCACCCAGCCUGGAGCACUGUGGCACCGUCAUGGCUCACUGCAGCCUCUGCCUCCUGGGCUCAAGCUGUCCUCCCACCUCAGCCCUCCUGAGUAGCUGGAACUACAAGCAUGUGCCACCACUGCUGCCUAAUUUUUGUAUUUAUUUAUUUUUUGUAGAGGGGGGGUUCUCACUAUGUUGCCCAGGCUGGUCUUGAGCUCCUGGGCUCAAGUAAUCUGCUCACCUCAGCCUCCCAAAAUGCUGGGAUGACAGGCAUGAGCCACUGCGCCUGGCCAGUAUGUUCAGUUUGUAAGAAAAGUACUGUGUUGACCUCUUCUAUGUGCACAUUUCUUUAAGUAAUAAUUCAAUAAAUCAUUUAGAAAAAUUG